RNAcentral lists this ribosomal RNA (301 nucleotides) under uncultured bacterium. Its description in RNAcentral is "partial 16S ribosomal RNA". It matches the Rfam family "Bacterial small subunit ribosomal RNA", at positions 509 to 807 of the family's 1533-position model. The record is from RNAcentral.
CAGUCGCCGCGGGAAUACGUAGGUGGCAAGCGUUGUCCGGAAUUAUUGGGCGUAAAGGGCUCGCAGGCGGUUUCUUAAGUCUGAUGUGAAAGCCCCCGGCUCAACCGGGGAGGGUCAUUGGAAACUGGGAAACUUGAGUGCAGAAGAGGAGAGUGGAAUUCCACGUGUAGCGGUGAAAUGCGUAGAGAUGUGGAGGAACACCAGUGGCGAAGGCGACUCUCUGGUCCGUAACUGACGCUGAGGAGCGAAAGCGUGGGGAGCGAACAGGAUUAGAUACCCCCGUAGUCCCUGUCUCUUAUAC